This is a long non-coding RNA of Thalassophryne amazonica, 119 nucleotides long. RefSeq lists it as uncharacterized. The transcript has 3 exons. Lineage: Eukaryota; Metazoa; Chordata; Actinopteri; Batrachoidiformes; Batrachoididae. The record is from RefSeq and is a predicted model, not a curated record.
GAACUUUAAAAGGAACGCCUUAUUCUUUCACGUCAGCAUUUAUCACAGGCAUCAGUCUAUUUUUCAGCAUACUGCAUGCGAUGAAAAUAAAUCCCAUGAUCAAGACUACCAAGACAAAA